AAAAAAUAUUACGCUAAGCCAUCGGAAGACGAAAAAAUGGAGCAAUGGAAGGUGAAAACUCCCGGUCGCCAGAUGAGUGCAAAUGCCAAUCAGAGAGAUAAAUACUCCGAUACGGAGCCGAUGAAGGAGCUGUCAGGACAUCCUGUGCCCGAAUAAUUUAAGAGCUUUACCAGCGACGCAGGAGUCCAUGGAAAUUUAUAUUGCGCGCUCUAAGAUGCAAGGAUUUGCGGCUCGUAAGGACUUAUACGAUACGCGAGGUUGUGUAAUUGACAAGAGCCAAACGGCGCGUGGUAUGGCUCCAAUUAAGGGGGGACUGAACGGAAUCUGCGGAAAGCUCCCGGCCGACACUCAUUCUGUGGCUGAGUCGGCAUCGAUUGUGAAAGGAUGCAAACUUCUCCGCUGUCGAGAAAAUUCAAGAAGCAGUAAGCUGUCGAGAAGCAGUGAGCUCCCACGUUCACAAUCCAGGAUUAUUGCGACAAGGACCAGAGGAGGAUAUUGAAUGAGACAAAUGUCGCCACCAUUAUAAAGCUGCCCAUCACCGAAUUCAUAGCCUCGAUCACGCGUGGGAACUCGCGUGGUUGCAAACGACCGGUAUAAUGACCGUCGUUAAAAUCCAGGGAAUUGAAAGCCACGUGCCAUUCAUCCGAGCGUUGUCAUUAAGAAAAUUAUUAGCUGCUGAUCUGUGCUCGUCUCUCUUGCCACAGUCAUUUUUCGUCUUGUUUUGUAUCUUUUGUGCUGUGCCGAACCGAUUGCUGUAACUGUAUCAUGUGCUCGGAUUAUCGUUCGAAUUCGAGGUUACCUUCAUAAAUAACAUUCUUUGCUCGGAACACGAAUUAUUGUACGCUGUCGAUUUGUCAGGAAUAUUUAGUCGUUGUACUUCCGAAAGUGAUCGUUCGAAAAGUUAAGAUCUUAAGAUAUAAAGUAUGAUCGUUGAAUCGACGUUAGAAAUAAGUUAUAAUUGUCCGCGGAAGUAGAUCUUGUCAAAUUCAAUUUAGGGAGCAAGACGGCAAAUAUUGAUUGUAACUCGAUUCAUUAAAUAUUAUUAUUAUUUCUUUCAUUAUUAA
Molecule: long non-coding RNA, 1064 nt
Organism: Acromyrmex echinatior (Panamanian leafcutter ant)
Lineage: Eukaryota; Metazoa; Arthropoda; Insecta; Hymenoptera; Formicidae
Source: RefSeq, a predicted model, not a curated record